RNAcentral lists this long non-coding RNA (676 nucleotides) under Daucus carota (carrot). RNAcentral describes it as "long non-coding RNA (DCAR_LNC006477)". Lineage: Eukaryota; Viridiplantae; Streptophyta; Magnoliopsida; Apiales; Apiaceae. The record is from RNAcentral.
AUAUCAACAAUAAUACUUAAAGUGCAUAGUGCAUACUACCCUGAUUGAGGAGCAAAUUAUUUGAAAGAGGCAUAAAUAGAAAUAACAAUGUAAAAAAUCAAUAAAAUUACAGCUAACCUGGGGUUUUAUAUCAUCCGGCCAUUCAAGCUAUAAACACAGUAAGUAAGAUAAACAUUAUCCAAGUAGCUGAGCCUUAAUUAAUGAAGUCAAGACCUGAGUCAAACACUAAUUAACAAAUUAACAACAGAUUCGAGUUGAAUUAGGCGAAACACGUAUCCGAGAUUCGCGGAUCUAGAGUGUGAUUAGUAGUAAUUAGCGAUGCAAGCGAAAAUCGAACAGUGAAUCUGACCUAGACAUGAGAAGGAACAGCUCAGGAGAGAGGGAGAGGGAGAGAAAGGAAGGGGAGAGAGAGAGAGAAAGAGAGAGAGAUGUACAUACACAGGCAUAUGCAUAUACAGGUACAAGAAACAAAAUCGAGUAAGAAUAGUACCUUAAAUCAAAGAAGAUUAAAUUCAACCCCAGUUCAAGAACUAAUAAAGCUUUAAUCCUCCCUUAACUCACAGCUUGCUUCCAUUUCUAGCCCUCUCUUCGCCGCUCUCGAACCCUAUUUUUCAGCUCUCGACAUUGAGAAAGGGGGCUGAGUGUCGAUGAUGAAUUAGUGUAAUUUGGAGCUGAG